This 673-nucleotide ribosomal RNA is filed under the name Fermentozyma sake. RNAcentral describes it as "eukaryotic LSU rRNA". The stretch from base 86 to 673 matches the Rfam family "Eukaryotic large subunit ribosomal RNA", at positions 1 to 603 of the family's 3401-position model. Lineage: Eukaryota; Fungi; Ascomycota; Pichiomycetes; Serinales; Debaryomycetaceae. The record is from RNAcentral.
CGUUGAGUGAUACUCGGGUUUACUUGAAAUAUAUGAAAAGCAUAACUAUUAGGUUUUACCAACUCGUUAUUCUAAUCUACAAGUUUGACCUCAAAUCAGGUAGGACUACCCGCUGAACUUAAGCAUAUCAAUAAGCGGAGGAAAAGAAACCAACCGGGAUUGCCUCAGUAACGGCGAGUGAAGCGGCAAAAGCUCAAAUUUGAAAUCUGCGUAAGCCGAGUUGUAAUUUGAAGAUGGCUACUUUGGUAAUGGCUCUUGUCUAUGUUCCUUGGAACAGGACGUCACAGAGGGUGAGAAUCCCGUGCGAUGAGAUGUCCAUUACCGUGUAAAGUGCUUUCGAAGAGUCGAGUUGUUUGGGAAUGCAGCUCUAAGUGGGUGGUAAAUUCCAUCUAAAGCUAAAUAUUGGCGAGAGACCGAUAGCGAACAAGUACAGUGAUGGAAAGAUGAAAAGAACUUUGAAAAGAGAGUGAAAAAGUACGUGAAAUUGUUGAAAGGGAAGGGCUUGAGAUCAGACUUGGUAUUUUGUAUGGCUUGCUUUCGGGCGGGUCCUCUGCAGUUUACUGGGCCAGCAUCGGUUUGGGUGGCAGGAUAAUAGCAUAGGAAUGUGGCUCUACUUCGGUGGAGUGUUAUAGCCUUUGUUGAUACUGCCUGCCUAAGACCGGAAGGACUGCGU